AUGGAAUGUAAGUCUUUCUGUUUCUGUUCCUAUGGUUUUCAGUUACUACUUUAGGCUCAAAACGUCAAGCUGAGACUUGCCCAAAGGGAAUUUGUUGGAAGAGCUUUUCUGCAUGAAAUCAUUCUUUGAAUCUAAUGUGUAUCUCAUAAUAUUAUGAAGUGUACACAUGCAUAUUUCUUUGUGUCUCUAUUUCUCUGUUUAUUUUGAGUUUUAUGUCUGUUUGUUAUGUUGUUGUAUGAUGGUGUCAGAUGACAAAAAAGAACUUAUUUACUCAUCUGAUUUUGUCAGUGUUUUAGGUUUAAUUUACAGAGACUAUCUGAAAGAUUUUGAUUAAUCGCCUUUAGUUCACAUUGAGAAAAUCAGGACAAGAUGGCUUCUCUCAUCUCAGAAAACUUCAAAUUUAUUGCACUCUUCUUCAAGAGUAAGGAUGUCAUGAUUUUCAAUGGUCUGAUAGGUUUAGGAACAGUAGCCAGUCAGACAGCAUACAAUAUUUUUGCAUUUAACUGUCCAUGUUCACCAAAGAAAAAUUAUCUGUACGGUCUGGCUGCCAUUGGUGUACCAGCCCUGGCUUUCUUUGUCAUUGGUUUGAUGCUCAAUCGAAAUACCUGGGACGUUGUGUCAGAGUGUCGUACUAGAAAAUGCCGGAAACUAUCAGUGACUGCUGCUUUUGCUCUGUCGGGCUCUAUUGUGGGCAGAGCAAUCGUUGCCCCUGUCACUUGGUCGGUUAUUUCCCUCCUGAGAGGGGAGGCGUAUGUCUGUGCUCUUAGCGAGUUUGUAGACCCCUCUUCUUUGGAUAAUUUCCCUCCUACUACAAAGAUUCCAGAAAUCAUGGCCCGGUUUCCAUGUAAGGAUGUACCAGCUCAAUUUAUGAACUACUCAAGAGUGAUUGAACGCCAGCUACAGUAUGAAUCCCAGCUGUUGGGCUGGUUGCUGGUGGGAAUCAUCUCCCUCACUGUCUUUCUGCUCCUCUGUCUGAAACACUGCUGCUCUACUCUUGGCUACCAGCAGGAGGCGUACUGGUCCCAGUAUCGUUCCAACGAACAAGCUCUUUUCCAGCGUACAGCUGAAGUGCAUUCUAAAUACCAUGCAGCUGAAUGUGUCAAGAGCUUCUUUGGCUUUGCGGCCUUGGAUAAUGAGGAGAAGGAGCUUCUUGCAAGCUGUCAGGGAAUCAAGAAUGUCAUUCCCAGACUGGAGUGGAACCGCGUCACUGGAGUUUACAUGUACAGAGAGAUCGAUGACACCCCCCUGUACAGUCGCUUGAACAAAUGGGACAUGUAUACAAAGGAGUACAACGAUUGAAAAAGAUUUUGGGGUCAAGCAAAGUGAAUCAACCCUCAUUCCCCUCCCAGCCCUGUCUUACACAGACCCAUCAGAGAGAAUCUGACUCGGCCUGCCUGUCUGCUCGCCUGGCCACUGUCACCUCCUAAUAGCCUUCAGCUGGAGAGAAGUAGGAGGAAGAGAGAGAGAGAGAGAGAGAGCAAAAAGAGAGGGGGUGAGCGAGGAGGGGGCGGGUGAAAGGAGAGCUGUGAUCCAGACAGCGAAUCACAUGAGCAGAGAUCUGUUUACAAACUGAGCAGGAGAAAAGUCAUCGGCACCAUUACGUGGAGGCAGGGCUGCUAGAAAAGACGACAGGAAACACACAGGAAUCUCAUCACUUUGUCUGGAAAAUGCAUUUUAUCCUUUGUGUUUUUGCAGCGGAGAAGCCAGACCAGAUGGUGUGAGGAAGACACAGCUUUGAAUGUGCUGCACUCACAAGCUCUCGCUCUGACGGCUCUAUGCCACUGCUCUUCCUCUUUCUUUGUUACGGGGAAAACGGUUGAUUGUAACGUGAGGGCGAUAAUCUUGAGCGAGAAGACUAAAGGAGAGUGGCUGACGGCAGCAGAGAAAGGGAGAGGUGAAAAAUGAGAAAAGCCAGUGACAACAACUUCACGUCAAACGGAGGUAGACGGUGAUCCAUUGUUGCAUAUGUGACAUUUUCUGUGCUGCCGCUUCAUUUUGGAUCAUGAUGCUG
RNA transcript from Megalobrama amblycephala (Wuchang bream), 2011 nucleotides. It is a transcript of the gene named calcium homeostasis modulator family member 2, tandem duplicate 1, with no coding region annotated. The record is from RefSeq and is a predicted model, not a curated record. The transcript has 4 exons. NCBI's taxonomy places the organism in Eukaryota, Metazoa, Chordata, Actinopteri, Cypriniformes, Xenocyprididae.